UUAGCUCAGCUGGGAGAGCAUCUGCCUUACAAGCAGAGGGUCGGCGGUUCGAACCUGUCA
This 60-nucleotide transfer RNA is filed under the name Staphylococcus epidermidis. RNAcentral's name for it is "tRNA-Val". It matches the Rfam family "tRNA", at positions 7 to 64 of the family's 71-position model. Rfam says of the family: Transfer RNA (tRNA) molecules are approximately 80 nucleotides in length. Their secondary structure includes four short double-helical elements and three loops (D, anti-codon, and T loops). Lineage: Bacteria; Bacillati; Bacillota; Bacilli; Caryophanales; Staphylococcaceae. The record is from RNAcentral.